This 997-nucleotide long non-coding RNA is filed under the name Camarhynchus parvulus. RNAcentral's name for it is "lncRNA (ENSCPVG00000001988.2)". The record is from RNAcentral. Lineage: Eukaryota; Metazoa; Chordata; Aves; Passeriformes; Thraupidae.
CAUGAACUAAGUAUUAUGCUUUUUCUUCCUCAUAUAAAUAUGUAAUUGAAAUAAUUAAAGUUAGGCAGAAAGAAUCUGAUAAUUUUUUUUGUGGGGGAAUUAACUACUUGCUCUCCUGUGCUGCUUAUGGAAGACAUUUAAAAAUAACAUGAAACUGGUGUUAAUGACCACCUUACUUUCCCAGCUUAGAACAUUUUCCUCCAUAGGAGUUGGAUGUUAACAGCAGAGUCAGUAGUGGGUUAAUUAUUUUAUUUGGUUUAUUAGAUAUUAUUCUUAGGCUCAGAUUUUUGUCAUCCUUUUUCCCUUCACAGGGAAGGUUUUAACCCAAGAUCUAUAAUCCUGUGCCAUAGCGUCAGCCUCAGGAAACAGAUGCAACAGUUAAGCCACAGUCAUAGACAAGGGGCACAGGAGCUAGUUCGGUCUUGGGUUCAUCUGUGGAGGACCACCUGCUCUCAGGCAGCAAAGGGCAGCAGCCCUGCAGGGCUCUUCCACACCCUUAGAGCCCCUAAUUGUCCUCAGCUGGGCCUGCCUACUGCUAUUUAAGCUCCAGCUGAGGAGCAUCAUCUGUUAUUGCUUCUCCUGCUUGGCUGCUGGAGGAGUGGGGCUUCCUCUUCGAGGCUGACUUCAUCUUUGAGGCUGGCUUCAUGGCCACUGUCCUGCAUCACACUGUGUGCUGGACCAAUACGUGUAUGAGGACAGGAUGAUCGUCUUCCUGGUGGAAUGCAGAAGUGAAAUACUGCAGGAGGUAAGAGGCCCUUUUUUGGUUUUUUUGACUGUGGAUUUUUUUCUUUCUUGCUGAUGAAAAGCUUUUACUGAGGUGGGAUAACCUGGCUGCUGUUGUCACAGGGCUUUGCCUUGUCAACUUGUGGGCAAUUUGCUUUAGUGAAACUGUUCUUCUGGCCUCAAGUGUGUUAAACUGACAAGAUAAUGUAAAUUAGCCUUAAUUUGUCCUUUCUGGUGGCCCAGGAAGCAAAUUUUCCUUUUGGCAAUUCCUGCA